This is a non-coding RNA of Ictidomys tridecemlineatus (thirteen-lined ground squirrel), 716 nucleotides long. NCBI's taxonomy places the organism in Eukaryota, Metazoa, Chordata, Mammalia, Rodentia, Sciuridae. The record is from RefSeq and is a predicted model, not a curated record.
AGCUAUUUUGCUGGAGAAAAAAAAAAUGAUUCCUAACUCCUACAAUUUCCCAUUCUUUGGACUUCGCUGAUUUUAUUUCCACAGCAUUGGUUGGAAGUGCCUCUGAUUUCAUUGUGAGAAAUAAAGAAGAGGAAACAGGAGCAGAGCUUUUCACAUGUUUGCAUCCUCUGUCUGAGAAGCUCACCAUUUAUUAUUAAUGAAGACACCUGCCAUGAUGUUCUACCUCACCUCAUCCCCAGAGUAAGGGAGUCAUCUAAGCAUGGACUGAAAUUUCUCAAACUCACUCUGAACUUACUGCUUUAUUUUUACCUGGCUCAGGAGUGGCUGUGCAGGUGUCAGUGACCCAAUUACUUUCCUACAGAAGGAGAUGCCUUCAAUCCUGCCAUUUCUAAAGAAGAAACCGAGUGACAGAAACACAUAAGAAGCUUACCCAACAAAGAUGAGAGGGACUUGAAGCCCCAUCCAGGCACCAAAUGUGAAUUCCUACAUGUUGGUUCUUCCAUAUCCCAAGAGUACUAGGUUUUCCAAAGUGAUGAAGCAUUCAUUUUCAUAUUUUUCUUGUGUUGAGGUCAUAUUCAGCAGUAUUUAAUGGUGUAGACAGUGAAUCUCUGCCCAAUAAUUCUAAAGGAAAACAAAGGUUUCAGUUCACUUCGUUGGAAAGAAUAAUUUCUGUACAAUCCUAAAAGUUAGGAAGGAAAAUAAAAUCUCCAACUGUG